Non-coding RNA from Oncorhynchus mykiss (rainbow trout), 254 nucleotides. The record is from RefSeq and is a predicted model, not a curated record. Lineage: Eukaryota; Metazoa; Chordata; Actinopteri; Salmoniformes; Salmonidae.
CAGACAUCCAAACCGUCCCCGAACAGCCCACUGGGGGCCCGAACGCAAGGAGUGGCAACUUCCGGAGAGGAGCUGAGGCUGUUGCUUCAGGAUACAAAAUGACAGCAGUCGUCUUUAGUCCUAGCAAGAAUGUCAUGAAUGUGGAUGAGGUCCAAAGAAAGGGCUAUGCAAUAGCCAACACUCCCACACGGCUGGUGUUAAGAAGCCUUCAUAAUGCAGAGGAGACAUACCUCCAGAAUGUAGCUGGGGUUUCG